Long non-coding RNA from Scylla paramamosain (green mud crab), 2686 nucleotides. RefSeq lists it as uncharacterized. The record is from RefSeq and is a predicted model, not a curated record. NCBI's taxonomy places the organism in Eukaryota, Metazoa, Arthropoda, Malacostraca, Decapoda, Portunidae. The transcript has 4 exons.
UUAUGUUAUUCCUCUUCUUGACAGGUACGUAAAUGAUGCGUGACGCUCUUGUGCCGAGGGUGUUGAUGCCGUGCGUGGUCCAGGUUCGUCUGUGGUGAGUGUUUGCCAGUCGUGUUAAGGAAGAAGUUUUUGCUGCAUUGUCAGAGGAAGGAGAUGAGGGCGCUGAAGACUUAGAGAAUAGCAUUAAUAGGAAGACUCUUCUUUAUAUGGAACAACCUCGGUGGUCAGGGCUGGCGGGAAUGUGACCCUGGAGUGCCCCGCCGCCAAAGACACCUACGUGUUGCUCCUCGAGUGGAAGUGUCAGAAAUGUCAGCUACCGGGAGAGGCGAUAGUCCCGCAGGAGGUGAACUUGGUAGAGUACAGGACAGAAUCAGUCACCCUCUUCCACCACGAGGGUCGCAUGUCCCUAUCCCCGGACACCUUCAGCCUCUCCUUCAAACCGGUGCUCGCCUCGGACUCCGGCGUGUAUUUGUGCCGCGUCAACAACAGGGAUGAGUCGCAGCGCCCCGUCCGUCUCGUUGUGCAAGGUACGUAGGUGAGAAAGUUAAUCUCUACACUGGGUUGGCGAGGCAGUGGUGAGUGAAGGGCCAGCAAUACUUUAGCACACACACACACACACACUACGCAACUGACUUCUCUUCUCGGCACUUCCCAAACCACACCACACGACAGCGACGACGACUCUCCAGCGGCGCGGAAUUGGGCGUGAAGUGGAUUGGCUGGGCGUGGUGGUGGCGGAUGCUGUGGGAGGAGAAGGGAAGGGAAGGGAAGGGAAGGGGCGUUACUGAGGUGAGGUUCGCUCCAUGCAUGGUGAUGAGGUGCCGCCGAGAGGGAGAUGAACUCAUAAAACCGCAGUAUUCCAUAAAUUUAUCGACGGGGAUUGUGGAAUUUGGAACCAUGAAGGAAGACACGGAGGGUUCGGGGAUGAAAGAAGAAAGAGCGCAGUGAGAGAGGGUGAAGGAGUAGAAGGAAGAAGAGAAAGAGGCAGAGGAAGGGAGGGUAAAAAGAGAAAAAAAGAAAGAAAAAGAACGUGUUGGAGGAUUUAUGUAGGUCGAGAGGGAAGACUGACGCGAAAGAAGGAUGAAGAGAAGGGGAGAUAAAAAGGAAUAGAGAGGGAAUGGAUGAAGGUACAGGAGGUGAGGUGGGAGUUAAGAUAUUUCACGUCUGCAAGAAGGUGUGGGGGAAAUAUACGCACUGAUCGAUCGUCAAAAGAUGGGAGGCAAGAAUGGGAAAGACGAGAUUGUGAUCAGAGAGAGAGAGAGAGAGAGAGAGAGAGAGAGAGAGAGAGAGAGAGAGAGAGAGAGAGAGAGAGAGAGAGAGAGUAUCGAUGCGGUGAGGGUGAAGCUACGUGGUAAAUGGUUGCUGAAAGGGGGAAGAAGAGAAAGACAAGACAAACAGUACGGUAGUGGUGAACAGAAUAGUGAAUCUGACCUCACGUUGAAAAUAAAGAAACGUGAAAGUAUUGUAUUUGGUGAAAGGGACUAGGGUGGUGAUGCUGGUGGUAGCAGAUUUCUGUGGCGGGACUUGGUGACUAAAUUAAGUGUGGUAAGAGAUGGAGGGGAGUCUUGUAGCUUGGUGAUGGAGUGGUGGUGAUGGUGCUGCUGGUGGUGGGAGGCGGGAAGAGGUCAGACAGUGAUGGCUCUGGAACCCCUUGAGUUAUAACCGAUAGGAGGAUCAGAGAGUCUUAAAAGGACUUCGGAAGUUUACGGGUGUUUGAUUCAUCGCCAUUAGUAUGCGGGAGGAGGCGAGAGAGAGAGAGAGAGAGAGAGAGAGAGAGAGAGAGAGAGAGAGAGCGUUCCCGCCGCCCUCCUCCCACUAUCACAAGGGGGCGGCUGGAGUGGCUGCUGGGGACGGGAGGAGACGGGUCAGGCGAGGGGAAAAGGCUUCUUAAUCCCUAUUGGUAAAGUGCUUCAUGGAGUUGGUUUUACGUGGGGAGAAAUGGCGAUUCCCGUCAAGGUCGCUGCUAACACGCUGCCUUAACGUGAUCGAGUGAUGGGCGGAGCGCGAGGUGAGGACAGAGAGUGUGUAUGGCGAGGCAGGGUGGUGCAGGUUAAGGUGCGAUAGGUCAGGGCAGGAAGGGAAGGAAAGGAUGGAAAAUUAAGGGAAAGGGCAAAGCAACAUAUAGGAAGACAAGAUGAAUAAGAGCAAGACAGAGUAGGGCAGACAAAGCAUCGUUGCAGGCGGGGUCAGUGUUUCUACUUCAUAGAAAUUUUUAGACAAGGAAAUCGCAGAAACAGAAAUGAAGUACGAGGAUGUGCAAUAAAGCAAAAAACCAUGCAUACAAACAAACACAACCCGCACAGUGAAAAGAACAAAAAUAAAGCUAAAGUUGCAAAGGGAAAAUGGAAAUACCAGAGAAGAAAGCGACUGAGGUCGGAGGGAAUAUAUAUGUGUGGCUGGCGGGCCCCGUCAGGGAGGCGCCCGUAAAGUAGGGGGCCUCGUCCCCUCCUGCGCCCCACACACAAGACUUUAGGAGCUCUCGUGAUGCUGACGCCGCGACUCUCCAUGUAUCUCUGCAACCAGUGGCCUGUAGCCUUCCCUGUCCCACGCAUUUGGGAUGGAGACUGAGAGGGAAGGGGUGAGGAUGCACGGCCUUGGUAAGGACGAGAGAGAGAGAGCUCAGUCUGUUACGAGGCGGGAGGGAAACGCAGGCCGAACUAAUGCUACAUGAAGGGAUCUGCUUGUG